CCUACGGGGGGCUGCAGUGGGGAAUAUUGGACAAUGUGGGGAACCCUGAUCCAGCCAUGCCGCGUGUGUGAAGAAGGCCCUCGGGUUGUAAAGCACUUUCAGUGAGGAAGAACGCCUGGUGGUUAAUACCCAUCAGGAAAGACAUCACUCACAGAAGAAGCACCGGCUAACUCCGUGCCAGCAGCCGCGGUAAUACGGAGGGUGCGAGCGUUAAUCGGAAUUACUGGGCGUAAAGCGCGCGUAGGUGGCUUGAUAAGCCGGUUGUGAAAGCCCCGGGCUCAACCUGGGAACGGCAUCCGGAACUGUCAAGCUAGAGUGCAGGAGAGGAAGGUAGAAUUCCCGGUGUAGCGGUGAAAUGCGUAGAGAUCGGGAGGAAUACCAGUGGCGAAGGCGGCCUUCUGGACUGACACUGACACUGAGGUGCGAAAGCGUGGGUAGCAAACAGGAUUAGAUACCCGUGUAGUC
This 465-nucleotide ribosomal RNA is filed under the name Vreelandella stevensii. RNAcentral's name for it is "partial 16S ribosomal RNA". It matches the Rfam family "Bacterial small subunit ribosomal RNA", at positions 338 to 795 of the family's 1533-position model. Lineage: Bacteria; Pseudomonadati; Pseudomonadota; Gammaproteobacteria; Oceanospirillales; Halomonadaceae. The record is from RNAcentral.